AGUACACAGCUGGUCUUGCUCCUUACACGUUCCCCGAGCUUCUCAUCUGGAAGAACAACGUCCCUAUCUGGCGCAGCGGUCCCUGGAACGGUCAGGUUUUCGUCGGUUUACCCGACGUGGACUCUCUUCUGUUUCUUGAUGGGUUUAACCUCAACAAUGAUAACCAAGGAACGGUUUCGAUGUCCUACGCUAAUGGUUCUUUCAUGUAUCAUUUCAACUUGGAUCCUGAUGGAGCUAUCUACCAGAGAGACUGGAGAGCUCCUCUGAGAGACUGGAGGAUCGGUGUUAGGUUUCCAAAGACGGACUGUGAUGCAUAUGGUAAGUGUGGUCCGUACGGGAUCUGCAAUUCAAGGGAAGAGACACAAUGUAAAUGCGUUAAAGGGUUUGUGCCGAUGAACGAGACCGAGUGGGAUGCAAGGAACUGGAGUAAUGGGUGUGUGAGAAAAGCUAUGUUGAAGUGCAAUGCAAGUAACGGUGGUGGUGGAGGAAAAGAAGAUGGGUUUAUGAAACUGGAGAAGAUGAAAGUGCCGAUCAAUGCAAUACAGUCUCUAGCUAACGAGCAGGCUUGUCCACAGCAAUGUACUGAUAACUGUUCUUGCACGGCUUAUGCUUAUGAUAAAGGGAUUGGAUGCAUGCUUUGGAGUGGUAGCUUGGUUGAUAUGCAAUCGUUUGUUGGAAGUGGCAUUGAUCUUAAUAUUAGACUUGCUCAUUCUGAACUCAGUGAGUAAAAAAUAUUUCUCUCUACUAGUCUCUCACUUAGUUUUAUUUAGUUGACUUAUGUUUGCUCACCAAAUCUUUGUAGAAACACAUAGUAGUUUAGCAAUUGUGAUCACUGCAUCCGUGCUAGGUGUUGCGUUCGUUGCUGCUGUUUGUGUUCUUUUAGCAUGCAGGAGAUUCAGAAAACGUCCAGGUUAGAGUUUUUUUUUGUGUAGCUCAUUGAUGAUGUUAUAUUGUUUUUUUAUUAACCAUAAUUUUGUUUGUUAUAUUGUCUUAGCAGAACCAAAGAAAGAUAGAAGUGCGGAGAUAAUGUUUAAGAGAAUGGAAGAACUUACAAGUGGUAAUGAGUCUGCUUCUAACCAAGUGAAGCUCAAGGAGCUUCCUCUCUUUGAGUUUCAAGUGUUAGCCACAGCAACUGAUAGCUUCUCUCUCAGAAACAAGCUCGGACAAGGAGGGUUUGGUCCUGUUUACAAGGUGAAUGCAUCUAACAAGAACCAGUUUUGAAAAAAAAGAUGUGUGUAUAUUCUCAGACUAACUGAUUGGUAAUGUUUUUUAUCUUCAGGGUAAAUUGCCGGAAGGGCAAGAAAUAGCAGUGAAGAGGCUCUCAAGGGCAUCAGGACAAGGACUUGAGGAGCUUAUGAACGAAGUGGUUGUGAUUUCGAAGUUGCAACAUAGGAAUCUGGUGAAGUUACUUGGCUGUUGCAUUGAAGGUGAAGAAAGGUUGCUAGUCUACGAAUAUAUGUCAAAGAAAAGCUUGGAUGCUUAUCUAUUUGGUAAAGUUACCUCCUCUGUCUUUAAACUCUGUAUUUACCUGAGUUGAUUGAAUACAAGGCUAAUGGGGUUGCUAGCUUUUUUUUUCAGACCCAUUGAAGCAAAAGAUUCUUGACUGGAAGACACGGUUGAACAUAAUGGAAGGAAUAUGCAGAGGUCUUUUGUAUCUUCACAGAGAUUCAAGACUAAAGAUCAUACACAGAGAUCUAAAAGCUAGCAACAUUUUGUUAGAUGACAAUCUGAAUCCCAAAAUAUCUGAUUUUGGGCUUGCAAGAGUUUUCCGAGCUAAUGAAGAUGAAGCUAACACAAGAAGGGUUGUAGGAACUUAGUAAGUAUCCCAUUCCCAAUAUACAAGAACACAUAUUUUGAAAACCAUCAUAACCAUUUGUUAUUGCAGCGGCUACAUGUCACCGGAAUAUGCAAUGGAAGGUUUAUUUUCAGAAAAGUCAGACGUUUUCAGCUUGGGGGUUAUACUUUUAGAGAUCAUAAGUGGGAGAAGAAUCUCUCACAAGGAAGAAAAUAAUCUAAACCUUUUGGCAUAUGUAAGUGUGUACUGUUUAGUAACUUUACUAGCUUUGAAUCUUACCAGUAAUAUGGUCUUUUUACAGGCGUGGAAGCUUUGGAAUGAGGGUGAGGCUGCUUCUCUAGCAGAUCCAAGCGUCUUUGAUGAGUCUUUCGAGAAAGAGAUAACGAAAUGUGUUCAGAUUGGUUUGUUGUGUGUGCAAGAAGUUGCUAACGAUAGACCGAAUGUUUCAACCGUGAUUUGGAUGCUAACCACCGAAAACACGAACCUCAAAGAGCCGAAGCAGCCUGCGAUUAUAGCAAGAAGAGGAGCUUCUGAGGCUGAAUCUUCUGACCAGAGUAGUCAAAAGGUCUCUAUCAAUGAUGUGAGUCUCACAGCUGUAACAGGGCGCUAAGCUCACAGAGCUAAUAUUUUUGUUUAUAUAAUGUAUGUUUUGAGAAUCACAUAUGCUUGCAAAUUGUGUUAUUCUGUGCAUGUUUAAUAGUUUGGUUAAAUAAUACUCUCCCAGUUUCAAAAUAAUAUAUAUUUUAGAGUUUUCACACUUAUUAAGAAAACACGUAAAAUAUGGAUCUCUUAGAAACAAUUUUUUUUUCUAAAAUAUGGAUCAUUCUGAAAUGGAAGAGUAAAAAAAUGUAUUUUCAGGGAAGUUAUGUUUAGAUUCAUUUAGCAUAGACUUGUUAUCAUUACCUCAGUUAAAAACACAUAAUGUGAAACUGAGCUGUGGUGAUAGUUACAAAUUUACAAUAGAUUCUAGUACUGUAAGUCUGUAACUUGACCUACUCUUAGAUGAAUUAAUUAACUUGGAUGAAGAAACUGAACGUGUAACAUGUUCUUGACUCUUGAGAAGCCACAGACAGUAAGUUUUGUCUUGAAAAGAUUCUCCUUAUCUUGCUUUUCUUCUUCUUUUUCUUUUUUUUUUUAUUUCUUAUUGGAAUCUCCAAUAAUGAUGCCUGCUUGAAUGUCAUUGGUCUAUGUGAUUUUAGUGCUAGUCUUCAAAGGCAUAUUCAUGGAUGGCGGCCAUGUUUUAUUGCCUUGAUGGGUAAUAAAAGAGUAGAUCAUUGCCUAUCGUCUCUCUUAUAAAAUAUUUGUUGAGACAUGGUAACAUAGUGGUGAAGCUGGAGGAAUAAUGCAGUUAGUAUGUAUGUCGCCAUUGCAACUUGACAGAGUUCUGGCAUCUUAACAGUAUGUGAAAGAGCUAAACACAAUUUCUAAAACAUAGUCAUCACUAGAAUAGUUUGCAUGUGACUUUACAGAAAGACAAAGAACAUCAAGUUGAUUGAGAGGGAUGGUAACUUAUGACCUUUCACCACUCAAUAACAAAAUCGCUAGACUUACUAUGUUGAAGUCACUGCCCAUUAUGUCCCACUACGACAGAACCAAAAAUCUUCCUUGAAAGAUUAAAACAUCAGCACUUUCCUCUUCUUAAGUCUUCUUAUAGAGACAAAGACCACCACUAUAUUAACUUACCUCUCGUACACUAUAUCUUACAAAGAGAAACAACAAAGCAAAACUAGAACUUCUCUGUUUCACUUAGUAGUUAUGGUGGUUCUACUGAACUCACAUCCUUGUUUUGUUCUUCUUCUUCUUCUUGCAGCAUUCUCUUGCUUCUCUCUGAGGUUAUGUUUCGGCGAAGACAGACUCACCUUCUCAACUCCGAGCAAAGACUCAGAGUCAAAGACACUUCUAUGCAAAAAGGGCAUUUUCAGGUUUGGUUUCUUCACUCCUGCAAACUCCACUUCUCGCUUACGUUAUGUUGGGAUUUGGUACGACAAGAUUCCAGUUCAAACAGUGGUCUGGGUCGCCAACAGAGACGCUCCCAUCAACGACACUUCCGGUGUUGUUUCCAUCUCUGACGACGGAAACCUCGUGGUUACCGAUGGUAGAAACCGCAGUAUAUGGUCGACCAACGUCACAGUACCAGUAGCUCCAAAUGCCACUUGGGUUCAGCUAAUGGAAAACGGGAAUCUUAGGCUACAAGACAACAGAAACAACGGCGAGAUCAUAUGAGAGAGUUCCAAGCACCCCUAUAGCUCUGUGUUGCCAAGAAUGAGUCUCUUGACCAACAGUAAAACCGGAGAAAACAUCGGUCUUACUUCUUGGAGAAACUAUACUGAUCCUUCAACAGGGAACUACACAGUUGGCCUUGUCGCUUUCCCGUUUCCCGAGCUUCUAAUCUGGAAGAACAAGGUUCCACAGUGGCGUAGCGGUCCCUGGAAUGGUCAGGUUUUCAUCGGUUUACCGGAUAUGGAUUCUCUCCUCAACAUUGAUGGUUUUAACCUCAACAAUGAUAACCAAGGAACGGUUUCGUUGAGCUAUGCUAAUGACUCCUUCAUGUAUCACUUCAACUUGGAUCCUAAUGGAGCUAUAUAUCAAAGAGACUGGAGUACUUCUAUGAAU
This 4408-nucleotide long non-coding RNA is filed under the name Brassica napus (rape). Its description in RNAcentral is "long non-coding RNA (BNAP_LNC004849)". The record is from RNAcentral. Lineage: Eukaryota; Viridiplantae; Streptophyta; Magnoliopsida; Brassicales; Brassicaceae.